CUACGGAGGGAGCAAGCGUUAUUCGGAAUCACUGGGCGUAAAGGACGCGUAGGCGGGUUUGUAAGUCAGGUGUGAGAUCCUACAGCUCAACUGUAGAACUGCACUUGAAACUACAGACCUAGAGUAUGGAAGGGGCAGAUGGAAUUAGUGGUGUAGGGGUAAAAUCCGUAGAUAUCACUAGGAAUACCGAAAGCGAAGGCGAUCUGCUGGGACAUUACUGACGCUGAGGCGUGAAAGCGUGGGGAGCAAACAGGAUUAGAAACCCCAGUAGUCC
This 274-nucleotide ribosomal RNA is filed under the name uncultured bacterium. RNAcentral describes it as "partial 16S ribosomal RNA". It matches the Rfam family "Bacterial small subunit ribosomal RNA", at positions 523 to 796 of the family's 1533-position model. The record is from RNAcentral.